RNAcentral lists this ribosomal RNA (1969 nucleotides) under human gut metagenome. RNAcentral describes it as "bacterial LSU rRNA". It matches the Rfam family "Bacterial large subunit ribosomal RNA", at positions 3 to 1973 of the family's 2925-position model. The record is from RNAcentral.
UCAAGCUACAAAGGGCGCAUGGUGAAUGCCUUGGCAUCAGGAGCCGAUGAAGGACGUGAUAAGCUGCGAUAAGCUUCGGGUAGGUGCACAUAACCAGAGAUCCGAAGAUUUCCGAAUGAGGAAACUCACAUGGGAAACCCCAUGUAUUGUAUAGUGAAUACAUAGCUAUAUGAGGGUAAACCUAGGGAACUGAAACAUCUAAGUACCUAGAGGAAGAGAAAGAAACAUCGAUUUUCUUAGUAGCGGCGAGCGAAAAGGAAAGAGCCCAAACCAGAGAUUUAUCUCUGGGGUUGCGGACAGAACAUAACAUGAGGAUAUCUUAAUUGAACCUAACUGGAAAGUUAGACCAUAGAAGGUAAUAGUCCUGUAAGUGAAAAGAGAAACUCAUAGUUCUGCUCCAGAGUACCACGAGACACGUGAAACCUUGUGGGAAGCAGGGAGGACCACCUCCCAAGGCUAAAUACUACCUGAUGACCGAUAGUGAAGCAGUACCGUGAGGGAAAGGUGAAAAGAACCCCGGGAGGGGAGUGAAAGAGAACCUGAAACCGUAUGUCUACAAGCAGUCGGAGCGAAAGCGACGGCGUGCCUAUUGAAGAAUGAACCAACGAGUUACGUGCACUAGCGAGGUUAAGUGGAAGACACGGAGCCGAAGCGAAAGCGAGUCUUAAGAGGGCGAAUAGUUAGUGUACGUAGACCCGAAACCGCAGUGAUCUACCCAUGUCCAGGUUGAAGCGCAGGUAAAAUUGCGUGGAGGACCGAACCUGUGAGCGUUGAAAAGCUUUAGGAUGAGAUGUGGGUAGAGGUGAAAUUCCAAUCGAACGCGGAGAUAGCUGGUUCUCCCCGAAAUAGCUUUAGGGCUAGCCUCAAGUAGUAAGUAUAGGCGGUAGAGCACUGAUCGGGCUAGGGGCCAUAAAGGUUACCGAACCCUGUCAAACUCCGAAUGGUUAUACUGUAGAGCUUGGGAGUCAGACUACGAGUGAUAAGAUCCGUGGUCAAAAGGGAAACAGCCCAGACCACCAGCUAAGGUCCCCAAUGUCGUACUAAGUGGAAAAGGAUGUGGGGUCUCUAAAACAACCAGGAUGUUGGCUUAGAAGCAGCCACCAUUUAAAGAGUGCGUAAUAGCUCACUGGUCGAGAGACCCUGCGCCGAAGAUUACCGGGGCUAAAGUACGAAACCGAAGCUGUGGCUACGACAUAUGUCGUGGGGUAGGGGAGCGUUCUGUGAGGGCUGAAGUCGUUCUGUAAGGAACGGUGGACUUCACAGAAGUGAGAAUGUUGGUAUGAGUAGCGAAAAGAAUGGUGAGAAUCCAUUCCACCGAAAGCAUAAGGAUUCCUGGGCAACGAUCGUCGUCCCAGGGUAAGUCGGGACCUAAUCCGAGGCAUGGAGCGUAGGAGAUGGACAACUGGCAGAUAUUCCAGUACCGGUAAUGAUUGUUUGAGCGAUGGAGUGACACAGGAGGGCAGGCAGGCAGGAGAUUGGUUGUUCCUGUACAAGCGUGUAGGAUGGGACGUAGGCAAAUCCGCGUCCUGUGAGUCUGAGGCGUGAUGUGGAGGUUCCGGAAACGGAACUGAAGCUGCUGACCCCACACUGUCGAGAAAAGCUUCUAGUUAGAGAAUUACCGCCCGUACCGUAAACCGACACAGGUAUGCGGGGAGAGAAUCCUAAGGUGCGCGGGAGAACCCUCGUUAAGGAACUCGGCAAAAUGUACCCGUAACUUCGGGAUAAGGGUAGCCGCUGUUGUGAAGUCUGAACAGACGGAGCAUGAGGCGGUCGCAGAGAAGAGGCCCAAGCGACUGUUUACCACAAACACAGGUGCCUGCUAAAGAGAAAUCUGACGUAUAGGUGCUGACACCUGCCCAGUGCCGGAAGGUUAAGGAAGGAUGUCCGGAGCAAUCCAAAGCAUUCGACCGAAGCCCCGGUGAACGGCGGCCGUAACUAUAACGGUCCUAAGGUAGCGAAAUUCCUUGUC